GCAGGCCUAACACAUGCAAGUCGGACGGAAACGACAAGAACAAUCACUUCGGUGUGCGUUCUUGGGCGUCGAGUGGCGGACGGGUGAGUAACGCGUGGGAAUCUACCCUUUAGUUGGGGACAACAUAUGGAAACGUAUGCUAAUACCGAAUAUGCUCUACGGAGUAAAGGUGCCCUCUCCUUGGAAGGUAUCGCUAAAGGAUGAGCCCGCGUUAGAUUAGCUAGUUGGUAGGGUAAAGGCCUACCAAGGCGACGAUCUAUAGCUGGUUUGAGAGGAUGAUCAGCCACACUGGGACUGAGACACGGCCCAGACUCCUACGGGAGGCAGCAGUGGGGAAUAUUGCACAAUGAGGGAAACCUUGAUGCAGCCAUGCCGCGUGUGUGAAGAAGGCCCGAGGGUUGUAAAGCACUUUCAAUUGUGAGGAAGAUUAAGUAGCUAAUACCUGCUUAGUUUGACGUUAACUUUAGAAGAAGCACCGGCUAACUCUGUGCCAGCAGCCGCGGUAAUACAGAGGGUGCAAGCGUUAUUCGGAAUUACUGGGCGUAAAGCGCGCGUAGGCGGACUGUUAAGUCGGUUGUGAAAGCCCUGGGCUCAACCUAGGAACUGCAUCCGAUACUGGCAAUCUAGAGUUUAAGAGAGGGAAGUGGAAUUCCAGGUGUAGCAGUGAAAUGCGUAGAUAUCUGGAGGAACAUCAGUGGCGAAGGCGACUUCCUGGCUUAAAACUGACGCUGAGGUGCGAAAGCUUGGGUAGCGAACGGAAUUAGAUACCCCGGUAGUCCAAGCCGUAAACGAUGUC
This 796-nucleotide ribosomal RNA is filed under the name uncultured bacterium. Its description in RNAcentral is "bacterial SSU rRNA". It matches the Rfam family "Bacterial small subunit ribosomal RNA", at positions 42 to 813 of the family's 1533-position model. The record is from RNAcentral.